CCUACGGGUGGCAGCAGUGGGGAAUAUUGGACAAUGGGGGAACCCUGAUCCAGCCAUGCCGCGUGUGUGAAGAAGGCCCUCGGGUUGUAAAGCACUUUCAGUGAGGAAGAACGCCUGGUGGUUAAUACCCAUCAGGAAAGACAUCACUCACAGAAGAAGCACCGGCUAACUCCGUGCCAGCAGCCGCGGUAAUACGGAGGGUGCGAGCGUUAAUCGGAAUUACUGGGCGUAAAGCGCGCGUAGGUGGCUUGAUAAGCCGGUUGUGAAAGCCCCGGGCUCAACCUGGGAACGGCAUCCGGAACUGUCAAGCUAGAGUGCAGGAGAGGAAGGUAGAAUUCCCGGUGUAGCGGUGAAAUGCGUAGAGAUCGGGAGGAAUACCAGUGGCGAAGGCGGCCUUCUGGACUGACACUGACACUGAGGUGCGAAAGCGUGGGUAGCAAACAGGAUUAGAUACCCCUGUAGUC
RNAcentral lists this ribosomal RNA (464 nucleotides) under Vreelandella stevensii. RNAcentral's name for it is "partial 16S ribosomal RNA". It matches the Rfam family "Bacterial small subunit ribosomal RNA", at positions 338 to 795 of the family's 1533-position model. Lineage: Bacteria; Pseudomonadati; Pseudomonadota; Gammaproteobacteria; Oceanospirillales; Halomonadaceae. The record is from RNAcentral.